GCAGGCGGUUUGUUAAGUCAGAUGUGAAAGCCCGGGGCUCAACCUCGGAACCGCAUUUGAAACUGGCAGGCUAGAGUCUUGUAGAGGGGGGUAGAAUUUCAGGUGUAGCGGUGAAAUGCGUAGAGAUCUGAAGGAAUACCAGUGGCGAAGGCGGCCCCCUGGACAAAGACUGACGCUCAGAUGCGAAAGCGUGGGUAGCAAACAGGAUUAGAUACCCUGGUAGUCCACGCCGUAAACGCUGUCUACUUGGAGGUUGAGGUUUAAGACUUUGGCUUUCGGCGCUAACGCAUUAAGUAGACCGCCUGGGGAGUACGGCCGCAAGGUUAAAACUCAAAUGAAUUGACGGGGGCCCGCACAAGCGGUGGAGCAUGGGGUUUAAUUCGAUGCAACGCGAAGAACCUUACCUACUCUUGACAUCCAGUGAACUUUCCAGAGAUGGAUUGGUGCCUUCGGGAACACUGAGACAGGUGCUGCAUGGCUGUCGUCAGCUCGUGUUGUGAAAUGUUGGGUUAAGUCCCGCAACGAGCGCAACCCUUAUCCUUGUUUGCCAGCACGUAAUGGUGGGAACUCCAGGGAGACUGCCGGUGAUAAACCGGAGGAAGGUGGGGACGACGUCAAGUCAUCAUGGCCCUUACGAGUAGGGCUACACACGUGCUACAAUGGCAGAUACAGAGGGCAGCGAAGCUGCGAAGUGGAGCGAAUCCCUUGGAGUUUGUCGUAGUCCGGAUUGGAGUCUGC
Molecule: ribosomal RNA, 738 nt
Filed under: uncultured Salinivibrio sp.
Lineage: Bacteria; Pseudomonadati; Pseudomonadota; Gammaproteobacteria; Vibrionales; Vibrionaceae
Description: bacterial SSU rRNA
Rfam family: Bacterial small subunit ribosomal RNA
Source: RNAcentral